Molecule: ribosomal RNA, 1158 nt
Filed under: Triticum aestivum (bread wheat)
Lineage: Eukaryota; Viridiplantae; Streptophyta; Magnoliopsida; Poales; Poaceae
Description: partial small subunit ribosomal RNA
Source: RNAcentral
AUGCUCCGCCUCCGUGGCUGCAUCCUCGUGCGGCUCCUCUCUUCCCCCGCCACCUCCCAGGGCCCCCCUCUCCACCGCCCCCUCUCCGCGGCCGCCGCGCCCGCCGUUUCCCCAAACCCUAGCUUCGCCGCCGACGACUACCUCGUCUCCACCUGCGGCCUCACCCGAGCCCAGGCGCUCAAGGCCUCCGCCAAGCUCUCCCACCUCAAGUCCCCGUCCAAGCCCGACGCCGUCCUCGCCUUCCUCGCCGGCCUCGGCCUCUCCGGCGCCGACGUCGCCUCCGUCGUCGCCAAGGACCCGCUGUUCCUCUGCGCCAGCGUGGAGAAAACCCUGGGGCCCAUCGCAAUUGAGCUCGCCGGCCUCGGCCUGUCGCAUUCCGAGAUCGCGCGCCUCGUCCUGCUCUCCUUCGUCCACUUCCGUUCCAGGUCCAUUGUUUCCAAGCUGCAGUACUACCUGCCCCUGUUCGGCUCCUCGGAGAACCUCUUCCGGGUGCUGAAGCUCGGCUACCUCGCCGGUGCUGACAUCGAGGGGACGGUCAAACCCAACGUCGCGCUCCUACGGCAGUGCGGGCUAGAUGAUUGCGAUAUCACCAAGCUGUCCCUCAGUAAGCGCGGAGUCCUGAGCAGCAAGCCAGAGCGCAUCGGGGCGAUGGUGGCAUGCGCCGAAGGCCUUGGCGUGCCUCGUGGCUCGGGGAUGUUCAGGCACGCGUUGGAUGCUGUCGGAUUCCUCGGUGAGGAGAAGAUCGCCGCCAAAGUGGCCUACUUGAAGAAGACGUUCAGGUGGUCAGACGCUGAGGUGAGCAUUGCUCUGCGUAAGGCUCCGUCUGUGCUGAGGAAGUCAAAGGAAUUACUGCAGCGCAGGUCUGAUUUCCUCAUCUCUGAGGUGGGGUUGGAACCGUCCUACAUUGCUGAACGGUCAGUAAUUAUCAAUUACAAGCUGGAGGGCCGGAUGAAACCCCGGUACUACGUUGUAAAGUUCCUCAUGGAAAAUGGAUUGCUCAAGUGCAACCCAGGCUACUACCAGACCGCUUUCAAGGUGAGAGAGAAGGUAUUCAUGGAGAAGUUCAUUUGCCCUCACAAGGAAGUUGCGCCGCACCUCUCUGAAGACUAUGCAACAGCUUGUGAAGGGGUAGUGCCGGCUAGAUUCAGAUUUACAUGA